This 472-nucleotide small RNA is filed under the name Pan troglodytes (chimpanzee). RNAcentral describes it as "processed transcript". Lineage: Eukaryota; Metazoa; Chordata; Mammalia; Primates; Hominidae. The record is from RNAcentral.
AGUUCUCUGUAGUGUUUGCCAAUGUUGGAGCCGUCUGCAAAGUGUCCCCGGCAAGAAGAGGCUGCCUACCACAAGGAAUUUAGCUUACUUUUUAAAGAUUGAAGAAAAAAAAGAAGACAGAAAAAGAAGAACUCAAAGAUACACAAAGUAAUUUGAACCAAGGCUCAGAAGUUUUUGGAGCCGUGAGGGAUACAGCAGUUUGGUCAAUAUUGUCUUAACAUGCUUCAAAUAAAUCAGCUUCUCUCCAAGAUAAAAUGGCAAACCCAAAAGAGAAAACUGCAAUGUGUCUGGUAAAUGAGUUAGCCCGUUUCAAUAGAGUCCAACCCCAGUAUAAACUUCUGAAUGAAAGAGGGCCUGCUCAUUCAAAGGCAGUAUAACUCCAACUGUGGAACUGAAUGGGCUUGCUAUGAAAAGGGGAGAGCCUGCCAUCUACAGGCCAUUAGAUCCAAAGCCAUUCCCAAAUUAUAGAGCU